This 433-nucleotide ribosomal RNA is filed under the name uncultured bacterium. RNAcentral describes it as "partial 16S ribosomal RNA". It matches the Rfam family "Bacterial small subunit ribosomal RNA", at positions 29 to 507 of the family's 1533-position model. The record is from RNAcentral.
AACGAACGCUGGCGGCAUGCCUAACACAUGCAAGUCGAACGAGACCUUCGGGUCUAGUGGCGCACGGGUGAGUAACGCGUGGGAACCUGCCCUUAGGUUCGGAAUAACUCCCCGAAAGGGGUGCUAAUACCGGAUAAUGUCUUCGGACCAAAGAUUUAUCGCCUUUGGAUGGGCCCGCGUUGGAUUAGCUAGUUGGUAGGGUAAAAGCCUACCAAGGCGACGAUCCAUAGCUGGUCUGAGAGGAUGAUCAGCCACACUGGGACUGAGACACGGCCCAGACUCCUACGGGAGGCAGCAGUGGGGAAUAUUGGACAAUGGGCGAAAGCCUGAUCCAGCAAUGCCGCGUGAGUGAUGAAGGCCUUAGGGUUGUAAAGCUCUUUUACCCGGGAUGAUAAUGACAGUACCGGGAGAAUAAGCUCCGGCUAACUCCGUG